AAUGAACGCUGGCGGCGGGCCUAAUACAUGCAAGUCGAGCGAAGCGGGGACGGGUGAGUAACGCGUGGGUAACCUCUUAUAAGACUGGGAUAACUUUGGGAAACCGGAGCUAAACCGGUUAAUUAUCAAUGGAUCCGCGCUGAAAUAGCUGGUUGGUAAGGUAACGGCUUACCAAGGCAACGAUGCAUAGCCGAACUGAGAGGGUGAUCGGCCACACUGGAACUGAGACACGGUCCAGACUCCUACGGGAGGCAGCAGUAGGGAAUCUUCCGCAAUGGGCGAAAGCCUGACGGAGCAACGCCGCGUGAGUGAUGAAGGUCUUCGGAUCGUAAAACUCUGUUAUUAGGGAAGCGGUACCUAAUCAGAAAGCCACGGCUAACUACGUGCCAGCAGCCGCGGUAAUUC
This 405-nucleotide ribosomal RNA is filed under the name uncultured bacterium. RNAcentral's name for it is "partial 16S ribosomal RNA". It matches the Rfam family "Bacterial small subunit ribosomal RNA", at positions 29 to 526 of the family's 1533-position model. The record is from RNAcentral.